RNAcentral lists this unclassified non-coding RNA (335 nucleotides) under Athalia rosae (coleseed sawfly). RNAcentral describes it as "misc RNA ENSAEAG00005005108.1". The record is from RNAcentral. Lineage: Eukaryota; Metazoa; Arthropoda; Insecta; Hymenoptera; Athaliidae.
CACAUUGCAAAGCAAGUGCUGCCAUUUGCACGGCAACUGGAUGAGGACAGUGUAGUCUUCCAUCGAGGAGAUCAUGCUUCAAUUGGAGAAAGAAUUGGUAUCUCGUCAGUUCCUCCCUCAGAGUAUUUGGCUCCGAAGAGUAGAAUUUCACUUUCAAUCGUAAGGUAUAUGGUGGUCCGACUUGACUUUUAACUUGUUUCUUAAUUGGUUUGGUCGGAUCUAACCAAUGCUGCACAUUGUUGCUGUCUGUAUACUGUAGCCCAAAAUAAUCCUUCUCGAUCAAAUCCAGACUGUAGAAAACUUGUUCGUAGAGAUCGCUGGCCAGUGCUUUUUUC